Paramuricea clavata is the source of this 347-nucleotide non-coding RNA. The record is from the annotation of a GenBank genome assembly. Lineage: Eukaryota; Metazoa; Cnidaria; Anthozoa; Malacalcyonacea; Plexauridae.
GAGAAACUGACUCUUAAUUAUAUAAAAGUACCUUGAAUUUUUAAGUUUAAUUAAAAAGCAAAAUGCUCUGCGGACAUGUUCAUGAGAAUAUAAUUUUUUUGUGUAACGAAAUCUACAACACUUGUCAACCAUAUUGCAUGUGUGUCUAAAAAUAACAUGUGGGCGUCCCACGGUCUAGACAGGUUUUGUGUCAGGCCCUAUUUCAAAUUAGGGCCUGAACUUCAGGUUAUAUCAGGUGGGAAAUUUGGUGUCGCUGGUCAGCAAAUUGCGGGCGCUAGCGAAAAUUUUAUUUAAAUUAUUAAACGAGGAAAAACAAGUUUUUGGGCUUCUCGUUUGGGAAGAGUGGA